AAACUGCGAAUGGCUCAUUAAAUCAGUUAUCGUUUAUUUGAUAGUACCUUACUACUUGGAUAACCGUGGUAAUUCUAGAGCUAAUACAUGCUAAAAACCCCGACUUCGGGAGGGGUGUAUUUAUUAGAUAAAAAACCAAUGCCCUUCGGGGCUCUUUGGUGAUUCAUGAUAACUUAACGGAUCGCAUGGCCUUGCGCCGGCGACGGUUCAUUCAAAUUUCUGCCCUAUCAACUUUCGAUGGUAAGGUAUUGGCUUACCAUGGUUUCAACGGGUAACGGGGAAUUAGGGUUCGAUUCCGGAGAGGGAGCCUGAGAAACGGCUACCACAUCCAAGGAAGGCAGCAGGCGCGCAAAUUACCCAAUCCCGACUCGGGGAGGUAGUGACAAUAAAUACUGAUACAGGGCUCUUUUGGGUCUUGUAAUCGGAAUGAGUACAAUUUAAACCCCUUAACGAGGAACAAUUGGAGGGCAAGUCUGGUGCCAGCAACCGCGGUAAUUCCAGCUCCAAUAGCGUAUAUUAAAGUUGUUGCAGUUAAAAAGCUCGUAGUUGAACCUUGGGCCUGGCUGGCCGGUCCGCCUCACCGCGUGUACUGGUCCGGCCGGGCCUUUCCUUCUGGAGAGCCGCAUGCCCUUCACUGGGUGUGCCGGGGAACCAGGACUUUUACUUUGAAAAAAUUAGAGUGUUCAAAGCAGGCCUUUGCUCGAAUACGUUAGCAUGGAAUAAUAGAAUAGGACGUGCGGUCCUAUUUUGUUGGUUUCUAGGACCGCCGUAAUGAUUAAUAGGGAUAGUCGGGGGCAUCAGUAUUCAAUUGUCAGAGGUGAAAUUCUUGGAUUUAUUGAAGACUAACUACUGCGAAAGCAUUUGCCAAGGAUGUUUUCAUUAAUCAGUGAACGAAAGUUAGGGGAUCGAAGACGAUCAGAUACCGUCGUAGUCUUAACCGUAAACUAUGCCGACUAGGGAUCGGGCGAUGUUUCUAUCUUGACUCGCUCGGCACCUUACGAGAAAUCA
This 1008-nucleotide ribosomal RNA is filed under the name Lophiotrema nucula. RNAcentral describes it as "SSU rRNA". It matches the Rfam family "Eukaryotic small subunit ribosomal RNA", at positions 84 to 1100 of the family's 1831-position model. Lineage: Eukaryota; Fungi; Ascomycota; Dothideomycetes; Pleosporales; Lophiotremataceae. The record is from RNAcentral.